AUGCAGUCGAGCGGAGAAGAGAAGUAGUUUUCUACUUUUGCCGGCGAGCGGCGGACGUGUGAGUAAUGUCUGGGAAACUGCCUGAUGGAGGGGGAUAACUACUGGAAACGGUAGCUAAUACCGCAUGACCUCGCAAGAGCAAAGUGCGGGACCUUCGGGCCUCACGCCAUCGCAUGUGCCCAGAUGGCAUUAGCUAGUAGGUGGGGUAAUGGCUCACCUAGGCGACGAUCCCUAGCUGGUCUGAGAGGAUGACCAGCCACACUGGAACUGAGACACGGUCCAGACUCCUACGGGAGGCAGCAGUGGGGAAUAUUGCACAAUGGGCGCAAGCCUGAUGCAGCCAUGCCGCGUGUGUGAAGAAGGCCUUCGGGUUGUAAAGCACUUUCAGCGAGGAGGAAGGCAGUCGUGUUAAUAGCACGAUUGAUUGACGUUACUCGCAGAAGAAGCACCGGCUAACUCCGUGCCAGCAGCCGCGGUAUACGGAGGGUGCAAGCGUUAAUCGGAAUUACUGGGCGUAAAGCGCACGCAGGCGGUUUGUUAGUCGGAUGUGAAAUCCCCGCGCUUAACGCGGAACUGCAUUUUAAACUUUCAAUCUAGAUCUUGUAGAGGGGGGUAGAAUUCCAGGUGUAGCGGUGAAAUGCGUAGAGAUCUGGAGG
This 656-nucleotide ribosomal RNA is filed under the name Yersinia sp. AT-BI-34. RNAcentral's name for it is "bacterial SSU rRNA". It matches the Rfam family "Bacterial small subunit ribosomal RNA", at positions 55 to 704 of the family's 1533-position model. The record is from RNAcentral. Lineage: Bacteria; Pseudomonadati; Pseudomonadota; Gammaproteobacteria; Enterobacterales; Yersiniaceae.